GGAACAAUGAGCAGGUGUCUGUACAUAGUUACCAUAAACGCUCUUAUAUUUGUUAACAGAGAGAGUACAACACAUUCAGAAUAAAUCUGACAAAGUCACUACAACUACCAAAAGCACCCUUGACAUUCUUAUCCCGCAGACUGAGAACUUGAUAUUUUUCGUGACGUAAUAUCAGUAGUGCAACAAAAUGUAAGGGUGCGUUUGGGAGUAAAGUAUUUUUGGAGUUUUUUUAGAAAUACUGUGGUUUCUGAAAAAACCUUGGUAUUAAAUACUUUGAAGCGUUUGGCUCAAAAAAUUACUGUAGUUUAAUAUACUGUGGUAUCUUUGAUACUGUAGUUUUUCUGCAGUAUUUAAAAAAGAGGCCCUGGCUUUUGACACCGCCAUCUACAUACUGAUCAGAAAAUCAGUCGCCGCGGCCGCCGACUCAUCUAUAUGUUAUAUAUUUUAUAAUGAAAUUCACUGGUUGCCGAAUACUUUCUGCACGUCUCGAACAAAGCUAGCACACGACUCGUGCAUGGCCAUGUAGCUGCAGGUGAUUAAUCCGGUCGUACACUAGCACACGACUGAUUAAUCCGGUGGUGUUGCUUUUUAGGUGUUGAUGAGUUAGCACGUGCUAUUUGGCCAUGUAGUUAUCAACAGAACUGUAGCAAAAUAACAUCAGCCAAACGCUUCGGUGGACUUGACAAAACUGAGAAAAACUAUGGUUUUUAAAAGCCAGAGUAAUUGUUCCCCACACAUAAGAAAACUGUGGUUUUAGGAUACUUUGGUUUUUCAAAAACUGUGCUGUCAAACUAAGCUUAAAUGGUAUGCGCGUCCACUAGCAACAUAGAGGCGAACAGUUCAAAAAAUGUAACACGUGGUGCCUAGUUACUGACAAAAAGUGACUCCUGCAAUUAGGCUUUACGAUUUAGUGACUUCCUCAAGCAAACACAACCAUUUCUGCUUUGGAGCAGCCCAAAACUCAUUUUGACUAAGGCCUGCUUGGAUUGAGGAGUUCUUUUUGUUUGGUCGACAAUGCUUAGCUCAGUUGACACAAAAAUUACACUCAAUCAAAACAGAGCCAGACAUGAAAUUCAUCUCGACGAACAUAUCCUCAUAUGCGAGGAAGAACAGUGCAUAUAUCACACACACGGACAAACAAAAUAACAAAGACUUAUUUGUUUGCAGGUCAAGGACAACACCAUGACAUACAGACUCACAUUCACUAACACAACAAUAUCUUCCAGAGUAUCAAGGAGCAGAACCUAUCUAGUGCACAUGCACUCAGAAGAAAUAAGUAAGCAGACAACCACUGACAGCACCAACGAACUUUUUGACAGAAUACAAAUGAAUUGUCGAUCGGCCAGACCAAUCGACUAACACCGUAGCACCUAAAAAUCAGAGCUUAAAGGGGACGAACCCACCCACAGCGACGAUGACGAGGAGCAACACGUAGGCGGAGGGCAGGAGGCCCCUGGCGAAGGCGAGGAUGCGGCACCCGUCGCUGCAGCGCAACAGGCAGAAGGCGGUGGAAAUGGGGGUCGAUUGAGAGUUUACAAAAGGAGCGCCUGACAAGGAUAUGGGGGCCGGGGGUGCUGCUACUUAUAUUGUACGCAGAUGGGAGGAGAGGCAAGUGUGCGACUUCUUUCCGAUGUUGUGAGCAAUCGACGGAGUCAGACCGCAGCGAUCACAUACGGCAGAUGACACUACUAGUACGUGGGGACGGACGACGGACACAAACGGCAGCGACGGCUGUAGCGUGCGGGGAUCAUUUGUGCACGCGCGUUCAAGCGGCCCAACACACCUCCUCCUUCCUGCUUUGCUUAAUAAAAAUAUUACGGUGGUCACACAGUUUCGGCAGGGGCGUUUCGUUUGGUUCCAUCGAUCCUGCCAAGCUGGUGGGUGGAGUCGGCUAGAAUUGUUUGUUUUUUUCUCCUAGAAAAAGUGGGUAUGCGUCGAACGGGUAACGGGGCUUGUGCGGCAGAGGAGGAACCGUGGGAAAGCAUCGGCUCACUCGGCGGUGGCAUUAGUUUAGUCGAAUAGAAAAAAAAUAUGUUUUUAACAAACUAUUAGAUGCAGAAACUUAUACAUAAUUCACUCAUAUGAACACACACCAUGUCCCUAUAAGCACAUUCUAGAGACUGAGCCGAGACAUCAACUUCAGAUUGACAAAGUCAUCACAUGCCCCUUCACACUCCACGGGAACGCUAAACGUACAUCUCCAAAAUGCCUGAAAUACAUCCAAAAAAUGCGAGCACCAAUGCCAAUUAUAGGACUUAAAACCCUGGUGGGCUGGUUCUACCACAAAGAACCUAACCAUCUGACCUAGGCUCUGUUUUUAGAAUAACAGGGAGACCCCUCCCCGGCUCCAUUGCCAGAAUGAAACCACAUAGCCAUACAUAAACUGGACGGGGGUUCUCUAGAUGCUAAGGGUUAUUGGUGCUAAUAUAACAGUAAACUAGAGAAAAACACAAGGGAGAGGGGGGAUACAUAAAAAAGCAAGGCACAACUUUGGGUUUUUUCUCAUCCCAAAGCGUACAUGUUUCGGGUCGGCCCAGCAGCAGCAGGUCCCAAAGGCCGAAGCCAGACAGGCUCCUUCCUGUGCAGCCCCGAGCAUGUGCUGUGUGCGUCCCCCUCGACCGCCGCAGCCGGCCUCCGUCCCCUGCCUGAGCUAAAUCCGAUUCUGCACCCGCUACAAUACAAUCCCCAAUCGGCCGCAUAGCCCCCUCUCCGCUGGGCCGGCCCAUCUAGCUUUCUUCUGUGUUUUUUUCAAACCACAAAAAAAGGAGUGCUGGUGCUACGACUCGAACCUGGGAGGUCCAACUUAUUGUUAGCUGCAGUAAACACCCCGCCACCCCCAACUGGACGUUCUAACUUCCAUCUUUUUGCAUAUUUUUCUUCGUUUCUUUUUUCUUCUGUUUUCGUUUUUAUUUUUUUCUUUUCUUCUUUUUUUUAUUUUCUUCUUUCAGGUUCGAUGAACUUUUUUCAAAUUCGUGAAACUUUUUUCUUAAUUGAUAUUUUUUUCAAAUUCAAUGAUCUUUUUUCCUUAAAAAUUGAUGAAUUUUUUUUUCAAAUUUUAUGAACUUUUUUUAAAUUUGAUGAACUUUUUUCAAAAUCGGUGAACUUAUUUCAAAAUCGAUGAACUUUUUAUUCAAAAUCGAUAAAUUUUUUUCCAAAUUUCGUGAACUUUUUUCCAGCAUUUGAUGAGCUUUUUCAAAAUCCAUGAAAUAUUUUUAUGAACUUUUUUCAUGAAUUUAUGAGUUUUUUGUGAACCUUUACGUAAAAGUCAACAGUCAACAACCUGAGCAGUGGGUCCAUGCUGGUGGUGAAAGGCCAAGCGGUCGUGGGGAUCGAGCGAUCGAGGCAAUCGAAAGAAUGCUCGUGUAGGGCCAGCCCACAAGGGGUGUGCGUGAGCGCUGCUACCCUUUACUGGCGCAGAGGGCGCCGAAGAGGUGGUCUCCCUGCCUGAGCUGCCUGGCCGCGCCGCGCAGGGACGCCGAGUCGAGCUCACUGCUUACCUGCUCAUCUGCUUCGGUGCUCCUGUUCCUCUCGGAACGGACUUGGUAACUUCUAAUCUAUCUAGCUCAAAACAAUGCAUGUGCUCGACUGAACCUGAACCUGAACCGAUGCAUUUUGUUAUCAGUCCAUUCCCAUUUCAUGCUAUACUACUACUAGUAACAGAAGAUGACAGAGAUGCUUCUCGUGGACAAAUGAACCAAACCCAUUGAAGAAUACUUGGCUAUGUUCUGCAGCAUAGACAUAGUGCCUGGCUCUGAGUAUGACUGCAGCUAUGACACUGCCAUAUCCCCCCGCAAACUGAUCAAAUGUAAUGCCUGAAACAGGCCGUGCAUUUUUCCACUUGCCAAAUCUACCGUCAUUGCCCUCGGAAAUUCAGGACAUGCCAGACUACUCAAUGUAUUCCUAAUCCCUGGUGCUAGACAAAACAAAUUUCUCACGGACCAAUCCACACUGUAAUAUCUACUGUAACAGAGAGUCCCGGAAAAUUUUGAACUGUACUCAUGGGAGAAGGAAAGGCGGAGAGUAUAUAUAUACACACCGGGUGAGACAAUUCCUAAUGUCAGUUUAGAAUGUAUCGUCAGAUUUACAGACAGGGGAGUGCCGACUAUUUUAACUUGAGGAACAGUGAGCAGCAGGUGUUCAACAUAAUAUAACACAUUCAGAGUAAGUCGGACGACGUCAUCCUUGACAUCCUUCUGCUGCACACUUUCUCACACGGUGGACUGGUAUUUCUCUUCAUGGAAUAUUAGCAGUACAACAAAAUUUUGUAGAACCCCAACACAAGCAUAGACUGCAACUCACUCGUAACAUACAGGCGAACAAAAACAGUGUCUCCUAUUCCUUGAUUCUCGUUUGGUUGCAGAGACUCUGUGUAGACGUCUGGCAUUGUCGGUCGAUCUUUUGGUGUCUCUGUGGAGCAUGAGAGACCAAGCUGAACAAGCUGCAUAAUGCAGCUCAGCAUCCCCACCAUUGUGGUUUCCAUGGUCCACGCCUUCGUCUCCAGAGCUCGGGAUUAUGAUGUUAGGAUCAAGUAUAUCACGGAUCUUUUCGGGGAAUGAAUUCCCCACAAAUUUCUGAAGGGUCAGGCCAUUCUUGAACAACACAUCUGUUGGGCGUUUCCCCGUGAGCAUUUCUAGGAUGAUAAUUCCAUAGCUAUAGACAUCGCCUGCUGUUGAGAUCUGCUGUUGAGAUCUUGUUCCCGAUGCCAUACUCUGCAUUGUUUAACAUUGAGUUAUCUUACAACAUUGAUUACUGAAAACCAUGCAAGUUUCCUUUUAAAGAAUGGAAAAGUAAAACUUGAAUGAUACUAGGGAGUGAGGAAAGCUAAUAAUAAUAUAGUGAAUGUUUACCUGGUGCAAUGUUUCCAACUGAUCCUCUUGGUCCUUGUAAGCUCGUGGAAGUAAUAGUACUUGAAAGAGUUAUGACUUUGAAGGAACUUAGCUAACCCAAAGUCACUGAGACGGGCACCCAUGUCAUCAUCUAGAAGCACAUUGCUAGGCUUCAAAUCAUAAUGGAUUACAGGGGGCCACACAGCUGUUAUGCAAAUAUCCAAUGCAGCAGCUAUGUCCUGCUAUUGUUACUCUAAAUCUGGACAUAAAUCGACGUCUACAGCUAUUAUAUGGUGCUUCUAAAGCUGGUGGCUGGGAGUUGUACAAGGGAUGACAAAGUUAUCAAACUGAAACAUUUUUGUCCAGGAUGUAAAGAACCUUAGCUACUGGAGAUGCUAGGAGUAUAAUGGAUGCUAAGCUUCUUGGACAGUUCCAUACCAAGCAGGUGAUAAUCAUGAUGACGAAUGCUGUAUCGGACUUAACCCUCUGUUGGCCUUUAACUUGAUAAACCAAUUCAUGCUUUUAGGUUCUUUUCCACAUCGACCAUGUUCCAUCAUUUUCAGAAUUCUUUCAGUCAACACCUUACUAAUAGUCUAUCAUAGUUUCUCAAACGAUAUGUCCAGUUUUUAUUCCAAAAAAGAGAGAAAGAAAAUUGCCUUCGACAAAGGAAAGCAGAAAGCAACAGAGUGCCUGACUCUGACUGCACUCCACUCCUAGUUUAUCUCCUGAAUGCGAAGUUCUGAACUAAUUUACCUAAUGCAGCUUCGACACAUUGACACUGCCACAUACUCCCUC
This 5621-nucleotide long non-coding RNA is filed under the name Triticum aestivum (bread wheat). Its description in RNAcentral is "long non-coding RNA (TAES_LNC008197)". The record is from RNAcentral. Lineage: Eukaryota; Viridiplantae; Streptophyta; Magnoliopsida; Poales; Poaceae.